GCAGGCUGAUUAGUUGUAAGGUAGCAAUACUGGUCUUCCAAACCAGCAAUAAGGGGUUCGAUUCCCCCAGCCCGCUCCA
This 79-nucleotide transfer RNA is filed under the name Acholeplasmataceae bacterium. Its description in RNAcentral is "tRNA-Gly". The stretch from base 4 to 73 matches the Rfam family "tRNA". From Rfam's summary of the family: Transfer RNA (tRNA) molecules are approximately 80 nucleotides in length. Their secondary structure includes four short double-helical elements and three loops (D, anti-codon, and T loops). Further hydrogen bonds mediate the characteristic L-shaped molecular structure. tRNAs have two regions of fundamental functional importance: the anti-codon, which is responsible for specific mRNA codon recognition, and the 3' end, to which the tRNAs corresponding amino acid is attached (by aminoacyl-tRNA synthetases). tRNAs cope with the degeneracy of the genetic code in two manners: having more than one tRNA (with a specific anti-codon) for a particular amino acid; and 'wobble' base-pairing, i.e. permitting non-standard base-pairing at the 3rd anti-codon position. Lineage: Bacteria; Bacillati; Mycoplasmatota; Mollicutes; Acholeplasmatales; Acholeplasmataceae. The record is from RNAcentral.